Molecule: long non-coding RNA, 2745 nt
Organism: Triticum urartu
Lineage: Eukaryota; Viridiplantae; Streptophyta; Magnoliopsida; Poales; Poaceae
Source: RefSeq, a predicted model, not a curated record
AGCAAACCCUACCCCGACCCACUCCUCGUCCCACCCACCCUGAUCCAUCCCCUCCCUCCCACAUCGCCGCCGCCGCGACCCACACACCGCCUCGUCCCUCCCACAGCUCACGCCGGCGGCCUCCUCCCUCCCAUCUGCUUCACUCCCACCUCAGGCGCCUUCCCACCCUUCCACCUCUCUCUCCCACAACCCUCUCUCCUUCCUGGGACACAUCUCCGCCGCCACAGGUGCCGGCCGAUUCCGGCGUUCUCCAGCGACUCCCGCCACCCCGCAGCACCGUCCCGAGCUCGCCUCGCUCUGUUGGAUCUUCCCCCUUGCGGGAUUCGCUGCUCCCGGCCUUCAACGCUCAGCCGCAACCCUCCCACUAGGGUUUCGGGGGCGACGACGCCUCCAUCGCCGGCACGGCUCCGGUGACCCCUCUCCGACAUCUACUGCGCCGCCACACGGGGCUCAACCUCCUAGUUCUUCUCCGCCCUCCCUCGCCCCCACCCCACCCACAGCCUCACUCACAACACACCUACCACACGUGCAGAGCGAGAUCCAGAUGGCGACGGAGCUGACGACGGACCUUCCCAGCGGCUCCUUCUCCCCCUCCCCUCAGUCAGACCUCGGCGCAGGUUUCUCGGCGGUCGACGGGCAGACAUGGGCGGCGGGGAAGGGGAAGAGAAGCCCUUCAAUUUCCUCCAGAUCCUCUGCUGACGAUGGUCUAGCGGCACAUGGCGCCGGAGUUGAGCCUGGGCAUGAGGAGCUCGCCGCCGUUCCCCACGCCUUCCUCCUCUCGCCCCUCCCCUUCCAAACUCCCCACAGCGACGGCUAGCGAAGAUUAUACUACUAUUGUGUUUGGGUGCCUAAUUGACUGAUUGCCCACCGUUGAAAAUUUUGUUUAUAUAUAUAAAAAUCUUGAAGGUGCCACAAACUGCCAAUAAUGAUGUUGAUUAUUCUCCAGUGAAUGUGAAUGAUAAUGUAUCAUUUGUCUAGAGAUGGAGUCUGUGGAGAUAGAGUUCAUUAGUUUUUGGUGUAUUCAUCUAGAGUUCAUUUAGCAAAGUUCAGAAACGCAAACAACAUCAGUUCAUUAGUUACACUAAGCAUUUGCCUGCCUAAGUUGUAUUUAGACCAAAAUUUGCUAAUAGACACCCCCCUUCACAGAUCUGCUAUUUUUUAGCGUGCACAUAAUAUGUAUGUCUUAACAGUUUCCAGCAGUUGUGUUCUAUUGUUUGAUUAAAUGAAUCAAAACCUGAAGGAGAUCUAGAUUAACAGUAGAAUCACAUAGUUGUAAUUACCCGAGAAAUUUUAACAGAAGCUCACUGUUAUGUCCUCCAUCGGGCGAUCUUGUUUGUUAUCGCAGUAGAAUUUGGUGUGCUUGAAUAAAAUGGCGCUCAUUUGCAUCAUUGUAUUUCUGUAGAGUUUUAAGAAGAAUUCUGGUACGAACGCACUGACCGUAUACUUGUACAUGUGCAGCUGAGGAACAUCACGUGGGCUACUUCCAAGCAUGAUGUGUACGUGAUGUAGAACUAUUCUGUGAUGCAUUGGUCGUCCUUACUCCGCAAAGGAAAAGAAGUGCUCAACGUGGCAGGCCCAAAUCAGGAUAUGCAGGAAGGUCGGCCCUUGUCCAGGGGAAGAUUAGCACCAUGACGGUGAAAGACAACCUCGGCAAUGCCUUCUAGCAAGAUUUCAAUCAUAAUCUGUGCAUACUUGUUUAUGAUAUGUGUGUGCCUCCAUCAAUCCUCUUUGGCAUCAUAGGAUACAAGAUACCAAGACUAGCAGUUCUUGUCUUGCUUAUGUUUUGUGAUCUCAGCUUAUCUAAUAAAACUGGCAAUUAUAGGAUACAAGAUACCAUAACUACAUAACUGGGGUCAUUUGCGUUACUGUAGUUGUGCCGUCUGGCUAGUGGGCUAAUAUGGGAGCCACAGCAUGGCAUCCUUCUCCAUUGUAGAUCCAUUGUAUUUGCAUGCUGCUAUAUUAUGUCAAGUUGAGUGAAGCAAACAUAUCCUGGUGUGUGUGUGUGUGUUAACAUCUCCUAAUGCUCCUACCAGCUUUCUGACUUUGGCAAAUGAUUUGACUCCUCUCACCUGGCCUAGGAGCAACACCACUGCUGAUGAGAGCAGAUCCUUUCCCUCAAUAGAUUAGCAUCAUUCCAUUCUUACUGUGUAGUAGAAUUGGUAGUGAUAGAGUGGGUGAAUCUAUGUGAUGUAGAGAUACACUAAGAUAAUGCAAAAAUAUAUAUUAGUUCCGCUAAUGCUUACCAGUGAAUUCAAGUCUCCUUAUUUGAAGGUCCAACACUUGUGCAUACUGAUUUGUGUGCUUUCUGGUUUAGGGAGGAGCUGCAUGCUCUGUACCAGCUCAUCCUUGUCCUGCUCGAGGAGCAGCAGGAGGAGGGGCGCAUCUAGCCAGCCACAAAGGGCCUGCUCUGUACGACCACGUCAUCGGCCUGCUGCAGCAUCGAGUUCAAUAUGUCAGGAGCUCGAGGUCUACAAAAUUUGAAGAUCGAAACCAUAUAGCUCUACUCAGCAAAGAGCCGUCUCUUCUGUUUGAUUGUAAUAGAAUGUAAAUAUUGCAAUAUUGUAAUAGUAGGCAUAUCUGGGUUGUAAUAACUAUGUACAAAUUGUAGUAGACUUAGUGUUAUUUGACGUACUACAUCUGUACUGUUCCGUUUGAAAUAAUGAUUAUGUAUGUGAUUUGAAAACAUGUGGAAUGGAAACCUGACUUGUGGGAUCCACUUAUGAAAAUAAUCUGAGCAUUUUUGAA